This 14808-nucleotide long non-coding RNA is filed under the name Prunus persica (peach). Its description in RNAcentral is "long non-coding RNA (PPER_LNC003973)". Lineage: Eukaryota; Viridiplantae; Streptophyta; Magnoliopsida; Rosales; Rosaceae. The record is from RNAcentral.
AAAAAAAAAAAACGAGAAAAAAAACUCUCUUCCAAACAUAAUGUCAGAGACUUAAAUUCAACCGCAAAUGUUUCGAUUCCUUGAUAAGGAUCGUAUAUGGCUAGGGACAUGAAUUGACAAUUGCUUCUUGCUGACUUUAAUGGGUUAUUAAUGUUUGAAAACAUAUACAAUUUCCCUCCAAUUAUAUCCCAAGCGUCGUUUGACUCAAGUAGUCUUUGAUUAUAUGUAGCAUUAAUUCGAUUAUGACAAGGGAAGAGGUGAUGUUCCAAAACCCAAAUUUUCAUCAUGCAGCCGAAAGUUUAAGCACAAUAUUCGAGACAUUCCCAAUUAUUCUUGUUACAAGUCAGAGGAUCGAAAUAAUGCACGGUGAAGAAGAAGAAGAAGAAAACUUUGAUAUAGAUUUUCAUCUAUUAUGAACACUGUAAAUUUUAGGGAAAAGUCUAAAAUGUAUGUUGAACAUUAAGAUUUGGCAACGUUGCGUUUAGUGAUUGACAACUUUUAUCAGUGAGAAAUGAAAACUAAUAACUUUUGAGAGGGAUUUGAUGGGCACACAAGUUGGCCUAACUUUUGCUUCUGCAAGUGCAACAGAAACCCCAUCUGUCUUUCCUGUUCCAAUCCAAGUAUGAGAGGAAGCCUCCAAAAGACCAUUCAUUCAUUGUCAAAAGAGCCGUCACACCUCAAUGAAAAAUUUUCACAUACGAGACCCCAUUUUCCUAAAAUUCUUAUCAUCAUUUUCAAUUUUUUUGUGCGUUUUCGUCUCAAGUAUACCAAGAAGGAAACAAACAACACAUGCUAGAAAGAUAGUUGAGAACCAAUUUGUUCAAAGAAAAACUGAGGCGCUGAAAGACACAAACCCACUUUAGGAGUUUACUUAUUCAAAACGUUGAAGGUCUUUUUUCUUUGGGCGGUCGAGAGAGAAAGUGAGAGAUAUGGAAAAGCCUCUCUCUCUCUGUGUAGAUGUUUGUGGUCGGCUGCUAGUCAAACCGCAGCCGUACUCAUUGUAUUCCACAAAAUUGUCUGCAUUUUAUACAGAUGUAAACAAUUUCAUGCAUUUAUAAUUUUUUAUGAAAAUUAUAGUUUUGGUUUUUUCAUCCUCCCCUCUCACCUUUUCUCUCAAUCUCAUCGUCACCUCAAUUAUCAUUCUCAUUUUCCUCUAUAUUCUAGCACAAAAAAUAAAAAAUAAAAACUAAAAACUAAAAUUGAAAUGAUUAUCAAACGGACAGUUUCUCAUACCAAACACAUUGGAAACAGGUGUCUAGUUAGCGCGCGAUGCAUACAUAUUAAUCAGUUACCUAAGUUUUCCUUGACGCAUGAAUGAUGCAAGGCUUACAUGCAUGAAAGGGGUUUGACCUUGAACAUCAAUAAUUAAUGAAUGAGACUUAUGAGCUCGAUAUUUGAUAUUGGACCUUCUAAUGGGGCGAGUAGAAGAUCAUACCUAAAUAUCUUGCAAAUAUCUUUUACUCUCACUUUGAUUUUUUCCUUAAUUAGGAUUAACUUGUAAGACGGUCCAUGCCGCACACAAGGCAUAAAAUGUGCACACACAAAAUGCUAAAACCAUUGGAGAGACAAAGCCAAAAGAUCGUCCACACGAGUUCAAUGUGCAAGUAAAUCUGCAAAAAAGGAUGUUUCAGAGAGACGUGUCGAGAACACAUUCCACGAACCACCAAGACAGACAUUAGUGUGGGCAAUAUUGCAGACGGACAGUACGAAAAACAAUGUGAAGUGGAGGGAGAUCUGCUGAGAAAUACACACGGGACCCGCUUGAGAUAUAUACAGCUCUUUGUUUUUGCUUUUGAUUGAUGAUCAUAUUAAGGCCAAGACAAGGUUCAAAGUCAUAUGUGGUCAUGAUUCACGAGCUGUCCAUAGCUGAUUUAUUUAGGGACAAAUAUUGUCAAUAAAAUUUGAUGUCUAUUUCUGAAUUUUGUAGCCAACUUUACAAAGAAAGUCUGAAGUAUGAGUUGUAUUUAGGUCAAAUCCCUCGCUUUAGAUUUCUUAACAUCAACAGUUGGGAGUCACUUAUUUGGUUUGACAAUUACAAUUAAUUAGCAUUUCUGAUGAAAUAUAGUAAUGUAUAUAAAAAGAGGGACCCACUCAAGCUAAUGAAUAAUCAUCAGCCCAACUAUUCCCAAUGAACCCAAAUUCUUCCCGAAAACAUCAGCAAUUGUAGAAAUUUGCAGUCAAAAGCCUCACCACCACCACCAUGUACUUUGUCUUCCUUUUGCCACAGCCCACAAAGGCCUCAGCAACCUCUAAAGUUGUAAAGUUCCAACUGGAUAAGACCACUCUCUAUCGUCCAACCGGUCACCCCAAAACUUAUGUCCCUGGCCCACAUCUGCAUUAUUGAGUCCACGUGUCCCAAACGCUGACGCAAUUAAUAUUAGGUCCUAGUAUGAUACACCAGCAAACUAAUAGCAUGAAGAAGUAGAAGAAGAAGAAGAAGAAGAAGAAGAUAAAAGAGACGAAACCAGCACAAGAAGCACGCCAUGAUUUUCCAAUAAAGCGAGGGCUUGGCUUUCGUGGUCCCCACAACAUAAUAAUACUCACCGCUCAUGCAACGACACGUACUUACCCCGUUUCGUCAAACUUGCAAUUUCAAGACAAUCCCCCCAUGCAAAUCAUUACUUUAUUAGUACGUGAAAACGACACUUAGCCAUACAGGUGGCGUGAACAUGUGUCACUCCCAUGUCCCCCCGGGCAGACUUCUCCGGCUCUGUCGCCGGAACAUUGGACUCACUGUCGGCAUCCAAGAAACCGAAUCUUUGAGCUCCUCUUCCUUUCUCUUUGUUAACUUCGUGCAAGCAAAGCUUUUAGCCUUUUCAUUUGGAUUUUUUCUUUCCUCUUAUAGUUAUUUCUAUAUAUAAACAAUAAAAUAAAAUAAAAAAUAGUUGCUUUACUGUGACACAUUCAAUUAAAAUGACACUCUUCUUGUGAGUCAGCCAAAAUAAUAAUAUUAUUCUAAAUCGAUUAAUUAUGAUUAUUGUCUGCAUCAGGUUUUGUCUGAGCAUUUGUCACGAGUUCAAUACAUGACAAGCUUUUUACUAUGAAUAAGUAAAAAACUUUUUUAUAAUAUGAUAGGACAUAAUCCUAAUUAAGGAGACAAUUAAUAAAAGACACAUCAAUAAUUGUGUCAUUAGAAAAAAAAACAAGGGACAUGAAGAAGUUGCUUCCGGAUACAGUAAGAUUACGAAAGUUGCAAAGACUAAUUAUUAGACCAUUUCACAUGUAUCAACAGCAACAAAUCCCAAUGCCCGGAAAAUUGGAAAAUCCUAAUUAUAGGAUGAUCGUUUGAUCCUGACAAUAACAAUAAUAAUAAUGAAUAUUUUUUCACAUGAAUUCAUUAACAUCCAACAUGUCUUGGAUGUCAAACUUCAACAUGUUGCUACAGUAGCUUUCGCGUUCGUCCUCUGUGCUGCUGUUGAAAUUGUGCGUCGUCGAAUUUGAAUUCAAAGGCGUUGGGCUUGAGGAAGGGGUUGAGAGGACUGAAGUAGUGAAGCUGAAAUUCUGGUUGCUGUUGUUGGAGUGAAAAUUUGAAGUCUCAGGUGAAGGAUCCAAAAUAGUUUGGUGGUGAUCUGAGCCAUACUCAUAUGCAAAGCUUGGUAAUUCAACAUACUCAUCAGUAAAAUUUGAAGGCCCAACGUUGCUCUGCUGCCAAUCACUGGGUUGAGAGUUUUGUGACCUAAAAUAACUUAGGUUUGAUGGGUAGUCUCCAUUGGCCGGCUGCAUGAUGAGUUGUGGAGCUUCAUUGGAGAAUGAGAUUUCUUGAAUGGGUUGCUGAAGUUGGUUAGAUUGGACUUGUUGAAAUGGGAUGUGGGGAUUGUCGCAAAGUUGGUGGAAGUUGUUUGUUUCUUGAGAGUUUUGAAGAAGAAAACUGUUUGCGUUAUGGUUGUUUUCUCUUUGAGAUUGGAUAAGAGAAGUUGCUAGCCUCAGUAGCUCUGGGUUGAGGCCUAUGGGUUGGCCAAGGAGCCUUGAGAAGUUCAUUUGGUGCUGGUGAGAUGAGUUGUAGAGAGAUGAGCUUAGAAUGGAUGAAAAGUCAAGAAGGUCAAGACGAGGGCUGUGGGUGACUGGAUCAAUUCCCAUCCGGAGAAGCCUCUUUCUAAUGUGGGUGUUCCAGUAGUUCUUGAUUUCGUUGUCGGUUCUUCCGGGCAAACGAGCCGCAAUUGCAGACCACCUAUAUAUGAAAUGAACCCAUUAGCUGUUGAACUAUAUAUUAAAGAGACAAUUUGAGUUUCUAAUACUAAUUAAUUAAAAAGUUUAGCUUAAUUACUUGUUGCCCAGUAUGCUGUGGAGUUGAAUAAUUGUCUCCUCCUCUUCAAAAGAAAAUCGACCUCGUUUGAUAUCUGGCCGGAGAUAGUUGGUCCAUCGGAGACGGCAGCUCUUCCCGCACCUUUGUAGCCCUAUUGAUCAUAUACAAUUCAAAAUUAUAAGUAAAAAAAGUUAAUUUAAUGAAAAUAAACAAAGCUUCAAGUCUCAUAAUCUCAUAAUAUACCUGCAUUCUUGGGGAGGGUCCUCCAGUUGCCAUAACCAUGCUUCUGAAUAUAAUCAAGGAGCUUCUCAUCUUCCUCCGGAGUCCAUGGACCUUUCUUGAGGCCAUUUUUGUCGCAACAAGGUGCUCUUCCCAUCCCUCUACUUUGAACGGCUGAGAUUACGAUUAGUGCUCCAACACCCGCAGGCUUAUAAAUAUAUGUAUUUAGCUUAGUUGUACUGUUUGUAGCUCAUGUAUUAAUUGAUGAGAAAUAUGGGUCGAAAUUUGGAGGAUUUGGACGGAAGAGGGUAGCUGGUAAGAGAUGAAUGGAUUAGUUUGUAGGGUCCGUAUGGAAGACGUAGAUGUAUAAAUAGGGCAUGAGAUGGAAGGGUAAGAAAAAAAAAAGGGAGAAGUCAAAACGAUUGCCGUCCUCUGUUUAUCAACAUGGCUACGUGUCCCUUUUCCUUUGAGAAACCAACAUAGCUAUUGUCAUCAUCAAGAUUCAAUAAGUUUUCAACUCCAAUCUCUCUCUCUCUCUCUCUCUCUCUCUCUACAUAUAUUUUAGAUUUGUAUAAUUGUGUACCUACCCAUCAUCCAUGAUCCAUGACCAUGCAUUGCAUGAAUUAUUUUUUUAAUUAGUUUUCUUUUUAAUUGAUUGAUGCACUAUAUAUACAGAAAUCAAUGUGACCACUUGUUGUGUUUAAUAAUAAUUAUUAUUAUUUUUCUUUGUAUAAGUGAUAGUGUAAAUUACUUUAAAUUAAUCGAAUUUAUAUAGAAGAUAAUUCAAACUUGAAUGAAGGGGGCAGGUUAUUAGGGCAUGUUUGGUAUUCAAUUUGAAUCCGACUUUUUAAACUCAAAAACAGAAUUUGAGUCCAAAACAAAAAAAACCUGUUUGGUAGCCCUAUUUUUAAAAACUCGAACUCAAUAACAACUAAAAAAAAAACUCAAUUAUUAAAAACAAAAAAAUAUUUGUUUUUUCAAUUUUUUUAUAACAAUUCACAAGUUCUCACAUUUUUAAAAUUUAAAAGCAGUUUUCAAGUUGAAUACCAACCAAGUUUUUAAAUUUUAAAAAUAAAUUUAAAAACUCCUUACUUUUAAGGAAAAUUAAAAUUUUUGAAUUCCCUAUCUAAAUAGGAUACCAAACUCCCUUAUUUCGUUUUCCGGCGGGACUGGGUUGUGUCAUUCCUGGCUUUCUGCAUUCAUAUUAGGGAGGCUUAGCUGUCAUCGACAUAAGAUAUUGUAGCAUGGGUGCCACGUACCACCCCCCCCCCACAUCCCAAGUCUUUCCCUUUGUGACUUGUGAGCUGACCAGUAUUGUGUCCUUACUGGAACUUCACGUUCACGGCGUCGUUUCUUCUUCCCCUGCACUGCAUGGCUCAACUCACGCCAAUAUCACGAGCCCUUCUCAUCUUGCUAUAAAUAAAUAACUCAGAAAUAAUUGCUUGCCAACUCAAUUAUUCUGUUUAUUAUUUAAAAUAAAUUAUUUUUUUAAAAGAAAAUUUUGAUGAAACGAGGGAAACUUUAUUGAUAAAAUGAAGAAUUACAACGAGAAUGUUGUCCCCAACUCAACAAAUCACAUAAUAGGUCAUCUUAAAUAAGAUCAGAAGACACCUCAAACCAAAUAAAAUUGUCCAUAUUAUACAGACCGACUCGAGCAAGUUAAUAUACAACACCAUUUGCUUCCUUACGAGUAAAUUAAAAAAAAGAACCGGGAAUCUGCAGUUUUGAGGUGGGAGGUCAGAUGAUUCAACAUUUUUGACAAAUUAAUUUAAUUUAAGUGUACGGACACUUCCAAAGAGGUAGUCAAAGCUAGCUAUGAAAAUUUUAGAUUACGUGAUGAGAUUGAGGAGAAGCAUUUAAUAAAAGAUGUGAAGACGGCAAUAAUGGAGUUCGGUGUUUGCCGAAAUAUAUAGAGGCAUUUAUUAUGCAGAUAAAAAAGGCUUGUACAAAAUUUUAAUAUUGCAAAGCGGAUGUCACAUGUUGCAAAUUAGUACGUACACUGUACACGCACAAAUAAUUAAGAAAUUAAAUGUACUUAGCAUGGUUAUCAUCCUAUAAAUAAACAAAAAUUCCGUAAUUAAUCAGAAUCAAAUUCAAAUAUAUAACAUCGAUUUAAGCGCUUGUUUUUUUUUUCUUUUGUUAGUUUGAUUUUACCAAUUAACAGUGUAUAAACAAACAAAAUCAGUUUGACUUUAACUUUGAUUACUGAACUAAACCAUGUUCUACUCUCACUCUCAAACCCAUUGGGAACUUGCUGUCAAUCAAAACGUCAACAACUUCACUUCAUUGACUUGAAGCGAAACUGAUUGAGCAAUUAUAUAUGUAUGGUUUUCUUAUACAAUUUCCGAAUAAACUAAGAAUAGUAAUUACACUAGUUCAAGAAAUCGACUUAAGAUUCCUUCAUUCGAAUUUCAAUCUUAACUUAAUUAAACCUGUUAAUUAAUUCCGACUAUUCAUAAGAUUUGCAGGGGUUUGGAAUAAGUCUCCAUCGAUAAAUUGUUCUACAGUAACCCCAUCGUCGUUUAUGGAUCUUAAAUCCAUCGUUAUUACUCUCUAAUCACUACAAGAAAAAGGGGCAAAGGCCACGGUUUGUCUAGUCCCAUCAAACUUACGGUGGCCAUUAGUGGUGUAAUUAUAUUAAUAUAUUAAAAGAGCUCCAAUCAGCAGAAAUGCACACUAUUUUUUUCAAAGCUUGAUUAUCUAUAUCGUGGUUGGCAGUUGGCACCUUAUCACUUUAUGAUUAUUUUAAGCAAUGGUUUUUAUAAGUUGACCAAUCAUAGCCAUUAAUAGCAAAGAAAUAAAAUUAUUAAACCACAAUUAUUUUUCGAUUUUUUUUAAUAGACUAAGACAUGCAUGCCACGUACACUGAUCACAUGCAUGAUCUAUGAUUUACCGUCAAAUAAUGUUGAUUAAUGACACUUAUAACAUUCUAUUUUACUCGAGGAAAAUAAAAUUGCAUUGCAUUGCAUUGCAUGCAUGACGAUCUCCAAUUUACGAAGCCGUUUUGCUUAGCGCAAAAUUGUUGGAGACUCUGAGUAAUUAAUUUGAUUGAUUAGGUGGAACGCAACUUUACAUGUUACGUGUCUGAACGCAAGACGUUAGUUCAUCCAAAAGAGGGUUGUAGACCGUUGAAAAAGCAAGCAUGCCUGAACCAGAUGGCCUAAUUUAUAAUUAAUUAAAUAUAUCGGACCAUCAUUAGCCUGCCACUUAAGGAAAUCUGACGUCUAUUAUUUAAUCCUCCAAGUCUCUCCCAACAACAAAAUAAACAAGGUCCCUCCCAUCAUGACGUACGAAAGUCUAUGCUGUACUUUAUUUGUUUUUCUCUUCUAUUUAAUUAGUCAUAAUUAUUACCUUAAUCAGGGGAUUGAUCAACCAGUUUAUGCGAUGAGUUCGAAUUUCUUGUGUUAAACUUCCCUAAUCGGCCAUCUGGUGAUCUGGAAGCAUUUUGGUCAUCCAACCAGGCCAGUAGUUUCUAGUAGUACUACGUUAAGUCAACUUUAAAAACACAUUAAUUAAAGUACUAAUUGAGUUUAUAAAACUAAAACAAAUGUUUAAUUUGGACAGGUGUCCCAUUAGAUGUUUUAGUGUACACUUUUCAGAGGUGCCCAUAAAUUUAAAUAUAACAUCGUUGUAAUAAACGUGAUUUCAUGUGGACACACUGUUCAUGGCGUCAUGUCUUAUUCACCUUUAUAUAAGCAUACAAAUGGUGUACGGUCAAAUAUUAUUUUAAUCAUCUACUAAGAUCUUCACCUUGAAAAAAGCUUAUAAUUAAUCUCUAAGCCAAUCCCACACCUUGCUUGUGUGCCCUUCUCACCCCUUACUUUUAUAGUACCUCUGUAUUAUAAAACCCUCAAGCUAGCCUAGAUUUUCAUUGGUUUGAACGGAUAUAUUAAUGUAAUUUAAGUGAUUAAAAGCAGUUAUUUUUACACUCGAAAUCAUAUGUUCAAGUCAUGCCUCCCUCAAAAUUGUUUGUAUCAACAAAAAAGAGUCAUUAAUUUAGAGAGAGCACAAUAUGCAUGGGAGUUAAAGUAAGAAAAAAAGGAGUUGGGUAGUGUAUAAUUGUAUACAAAUCGUAUCAGAAGAAGAGUAUUACCAUCUUUGGUAUUUCAUGAUUAAUAUACGCAACCGUAGACUAAUGUCUCCAUGCUUGGUAUCAAGGAGACAACGUCCACUUAAUUAAGUAACAAAAUAGCUUAAUUAUUAUACAGAAAAGUGGAUUACUGCUUAAAAUACAAAAUACUGACGAUUACGUCUAAUACUAAAAACGGUAAUUAGGGGUCCAAAUCUUAGGGUUUGCUUGUACAUGCAUGUAGCCAAAACACAAAUGCAUAUACGUGUUAGUGUUGAAUGAAUCCCAAAAUACAUAUACCUGGCAGAUUUUCUAAAAAAUGUUGUACAACGAACGUUGAAUAAUGAUUAACAAGCACGAAUUAAUUAUUUGUUCCAUGCAAUUUCGUUGACAGAGUUCACAUAAAUUAGAGUAUACUGAGAUACGAGAUCCAAAGAGUUGCACAGUCACUAUUACAACUCAUAAGCAAAUUUAUAUAAUAUUUUUCUACGUGUUUUAAAGAUAUAUAUAAUAUUUUGUUUUCUUUAUUAGUACGUAGUCCAUGUUGAAUCCACAAGAUUCUAAACUAUAUAUUAUCCAUGUGAUCAAACCCUAAAGAUGAUGAGAUUUCAAGAACUAGAUUUGUACUCAACGUAAGCAUUCUGGGGACACGUAGGGCAUGUUGAUGGGGUUUGAUGGAAGCCUGUGGAAAUGGUGAUAGGAUGAGCACCAUUCUCGAGAUCACAACGUGUCAUAAGAACAGUGGUUUCAAGCUGAAAUGCCAAUGUUUGUACGAUCUUCAUUUGUUUGACUUUUCCUAUUGGGGGGCCAAUCAUUUAUUGACAUAUUGCUUAACUUAUGGUGGGCUUGAGUUCAUUUGAAGGAAAAUAUUUCUCUAGAAGGGUUUUCAUAUAAGUUGCUCAAAGCAGAGCCAUGAAUAACAUUACGAACUGUUAAUUGCUGUGGAAUCUACAAUAAGGAUACUUACUUACUUGAACGACUGACGCUAACACGCUUCCUAUUAAGAUGAAGGAUAGAACGUGGUUAAGAAAACUCCUAUCAAUCAGAGCAAUUGAGUAUAGAAAAUUGCAGUUGGUGAAAAAAUGCACCAUCUGACCCAACCCCUAUGGAAUAAGUAUCAGAAAGGGUAUCAGAUUUUCACAAACCUAAACGAUCUUCUGCUUGAGGAACUGAAAUCUCAGACCAAAAGGGAAUAUAAAAAAAAAGGGAACUGAAAUCUGCUUCUAAUAGAAAGUAUGGUUAUUACAUUGACUUGUAAAGAACCUGGUUCCUCUUACACUGGGAUCCCGUAGCUGGAAAAGAAUUGUGUAUGAUAAUUUUAGGGGACAAUAGUGCACAUGAAGAAUUAAUGUCAAAUGGCAUUCCGAAGAGUUUCUUGCCAUAUUUCAAAAAAUAAAAUCAAAUUGAAACAAAAAUAUAAAUACCUAUUUGAAAUAGUAAUCACCGUGAAACAGUGGACGAAUUGGAAGAUAUCAUCUCUACAAGCCGGUUAUGCAAGUUGCCAUUUGUCACAAGGAUACCACCAGAAGGGUAUAUAUUCCUCCGUCCAAGUUGAUCUGCUGCAAGAUUAAUUUGAUCUCCCUUCCAGUCAGUCACCUGGUUUUACAGGGGAUAAUUUCUUAAAAGGAGGAUAUUGUGAUUUCUCAAUGGAACAAGUAUCAAUAAACAAAGUACUGGCUCCUCCUGUUGUAUAUGUAGGUGUUAUUUUGUUUAGUUCGCUCUAUUUAGUCCAUUGAAACAAGAGGUGUCAUCCUAGAUGAUCAGUCUGUUUUACCUAGUAUCAGAAAACACUUCUCCAAGGAAGGCUGGAGAAACUUUGUUUUGCAAUAGAUAUAACAAACAUAAAUAACUUUAAAAAGAAAAUAUAGAUACCAGAAAUAGUCAAAGGCCUCAAAUUUUAGUUUUCUGUUCUGAAUUCCCAUUAGUUAACCUCUUUGCAGUUUAUACCAAUCCUACAGUGGAGCUUAGCAGCAAACUCAUAUUUUAUAAUAUGUAUUAUGACUUAAAUGCACCAAGUUGGAUACAUUAUGCGAUACUUCAAAAAGAGUCAUAGAAAAAUACCUUUCCCCCUGCUUCAUGCACGCAUAUAAUACCAGCAGCGUGAUCCCAAGCCUACAUUGUGAUAAGUUGAAGUACGUCAUACUGAUGUAGUUCCUAUAAUCCACUUACAACUGGAAUGAAUUGCAAUACCUUGGUAACUUUUUGAACUUUCACAUUCUGCAUAUAAAGAGAUACCCUGCCUGAAGCCACCAUUAUAUACUUGGAUAAACUGCAUGCCAAAAAGAAGAAAGGUACAUACAAGUUCCUGUAAGCAUUGACCAAGAAGCUGAAAGUAAUUUGUUACGGAAUUUCAGAAAUACGGACCCUUAACUUUAUUCUAAUAAGACUAAUAUGUCAAGAGCCAAUUGUACAAUGGUGAAUCAGAUUAAACACUAUAGAGAAACUUUUGCUCUGUAAACUUGAGAAACACAAGACCAUCCUGUUCAAACAGUGGUCAAUGAGUCAUUGUGCAACACAGGCAAUCGGUGAUAGGGUAUAGAUUGUUUCUCUAUGUAUGCAAGAGUAAACAGAUAGAAGAACAAGUUUAACAAUCAUUUAAAAACUACUUUUAAGAUAUCUGAGAAAUCUGACUUUUUAGUAGAAGUAGUCAAGGAGGAAGAUAACCAACCUUCCACAACAAGAUUUCACAAGAAGAAUUUGACCCUCAUCAAUGCUAUCAGCACUAGUUGUUGAGGUGAACAAAGUUGACAGCGGAUAUGACUCCCAUGCAUCACUCGCUCUGAUAGAAUAGCGUGCCUCUUCCACCACGCAACAUCCAUCAACGAAGCAUUGCAUCCAAGAAUAAGGCAUUUUGGCUGUGAGAUUUAGCACAGAUGACAGGCGUUUUGUCCAUGUGCCACACCCAGUAUGAGCAACCAUAAUAAUCCCUGAUCCAGGUGGAGUGUUUUUUUCUUCCUGGACUUCAGAGGUGGAUUUGUUGGAUACGGCAUUCUGCCAGUUCGGGCAGCCCAUGACAGCUAAUACAAUCUGUCCGUCAACUACAAGAGCCAAACCUACCUGAAAAUUGAGGUUGUUUAUGGGCAACUCAUAUAGUAAUAAGCAAUGUAGUGAAACAGGUACGAAUUUCUAUACAGAAUACAGCUUCAAUCAUUUAUUUUCGCAACAUAUAAGUGCUAUUACUAUGUAUGAUUUGACACCAUUGGCCUUCUUAAAUAAGAAAGCAACAUAGCAACCAUAAUCACUUCAAAGCUGUAAUCUGCUUGAAGAUUUAUUUUCAAUCUGACCAAUAACUAAGACAUCCAUUUACCUCUGGGUAUAUAGAUUUCUAUUUUAAUAACUUGGUAAAAUUUGUCUGAAAUUCCUACUUGAGUUAAGCUUCCCCUCUCUCUUUUUCUCUUUGUCUCUUGCUUGGAUACUUCCAUUGUGUAGAAUAGAUUGCGUGUUCUUUCUGUUUCUAUGAUUAUUUUCACAAUUCCUACUUGAGUUAAGCUUCCCCUCUUUCUCUUUCUAUUUGCCUCUUACUUGGAUACUUCCAUUGUUUAUAUUCACAACAUAAGUUACUCCAUUUUGUAUUUAUUUCCUGCAUCCUAAGUUUGAAUAAAAACAUCCGUAGUAAUACUAUCAGGAAGGUUGGGUUGGAAGCAGAAACUCUUGAAUAGUAUAAUUUCAAUAGUGUAAACUUCUAGCAGCAUUUGAUUAGUUUAGAUACAGUAAAAUGCAUCCUGUAAUAUCGAUACGACAUUAGACGCAAUUAGAUAACUACAACUUGAUGACCGAUGAACAAAUUUACAGGCAAAUAUCUGUUGUACUCUAUAGCAAAGUUAAUUACAGGUGCCAUAAGAUUCAAAACUCACUGUCAUGACCAAAUAUCAGGGAGAGGGGGGCAAAAGAAAGAAACUCAAUGCAACAUUGUUGAAGUUAGUAAGACAUACCACAUACAACGCCUGAUUUCCUUUCACAAAUCCUUGGGUGCCAUCAAUUGGGUCCAGUACCUGCAUUAUGCUUCUCAGUUCAUUUUGGAAGGCAACAAUGUUUAACUAAAAACUGCAACCAUGAAAGAAAGCAACGAUUUUUAAGGAGAGAAUAAAGGAACACACACAAAGCUGUAAUCUUUGUAAUGUUCAAUUCAAGCAUACGAUGCAAAUGCAAAUCCGAAACAAACCCAAUACGUGGCCGGCUGAGCUCCGAAAGUAGAACCAUCCUGGCCCCCUCUGUCAAUGGCUUCCAAUACAUGAUCAGGCGUCCAUGGGUUUUCUCCAUGGCUGGUCUUGCUAAUAACCGCAUCGAAAACUGGCCCUACUAGAUUAUUUGAACGUACAAACGCAGAGUCUUCUUCCGCCACCAAGGGAAUGGAAGGGAAGCGUUUACCAAGCUCUGCCGCCACCAAACUCCAAUCAAAAUUUGCUAAAUAAAUAAAUACAAAAAAAAAAGGACUAAUUAGCAAUUACCCAAACUCAAGAGGGCCUGGACACCAAAAUCCGCCACCGUGACCGGAGUCUGGUCAUUUUUUUCAACAACCCGUCGUUUACUCGAUAGCAAAGACGAUUGGACUUCGACGCAGAGCGCGCAAGCUCUCUCUACGGCGUCGACGGCUGCUUCCAGCUCCCGAUGGUACUUGGCCUUCUCAGUGCCGAACGGCAAACUCGACCUCACGCUGAAGCGUAGCCUGCGGACCGCCGGAUCGGGCUGACUGAAUCGGACGGUCGAGAAAUGCCGGGCUGAGUGGACGAGAAUCAUGGCGGGUUAAACGGUCGGCUGUAUAGUUUGAGUUAAACAGUUGUUAAAAGGCGGUUGGUGGAGACUGAAGCCUGCCAUAGUGGGCCUGAAAUUCCGAGCGAAAAGUUUAUACAGCCCAAAUUCCAGCUUAUCCAUUUUAUCAUUUCAGUCUGGGCCGUUUUUUAAACCCUUCUCUUUAGAUUAUGACUUCAAACUCGCCCCAAAUAUUGAUUUUCUUUUUUUUUCUUUUUUUCUUUUUUAAAUGUAAAAUUGUUUGGUUAGAAAUAAAUAAUUUCAAACCAUUUGUGCUUAGCUAGCUUAGACUCAUUUUGUGCUCCUCUUUCGUGGACCAAUAAUCUCGUAACAAUCUAACAUAAUUUAUACUUAUGUCACAAAGUAUAAGGUUUUAUAGGUGAUUCAAUUAAUCAAGUAUAUUUGGGAGCUUCAAACAUACAAUUUCGAAUGUAUAACUAACUACUCUCAACCAAUUGAAUUACAAAUCUUUUAAAUGCCUGAUCUAUCGUUUAGAUAAAAUCAUUUUAACGUGUUUACCCCGAUCAAGAAUAAUUCAAAACAUCUAAAUCAGAAAUGAUCUUUUAUCAUGUAAAGGAUAAUUAUUUAAAAUCCGGAAGACAAAAACUUCCAGAAUCCCACGUAGAAAAUCUUGUCCUUAUCCUGAAGUUUAGAGCUAUCCUAAGACACGUGGCCCUCGCUCACUGGAUAAGACCCCACUGCCCCCCAUUUUUCAUUGCAAAGUCCGUUAUGCUCACGCAACCCAUCAACAUCACUGCCGUCUGUUUCCCAUUUUUCAGCGGUCAACAAAGCCAUAGAUUUCUAAAACCUGGGAUUCAUCUACUGAAUUCACCUUUUUCUCUCUUUACCCUCUCUAUAUAUACAAGCAAGAUCAAUCCAAAAGCAAAAGUGAUAAUAAAAAAAACAAUUGCAACCCAAGAUUUUUUGUUGCUUUGAAAAUUCAUCUGUGGGAUAUUAUUAUCUGGGCAUGAGCUUGAGGGACGUGAGUAGAGUGGUGUACCAGGCAGGGAUGAGGGUUAUGCAGGGGGUCAAAGAGCAGGCUCCCAAGUGUGGUGGUUCAUCAUCUUCUUCUUCUUCUUCAUCUUCCUCUUCAAAGCAGGCAUGGCGUUUCUCUUCAUCUGUCGAUUCGGGUGCUUUCAAGGCUGCCAACAGUGACAAGGUUAAGCAAGCAGAGGAGUCUCUCAGGACUGUCAUGUACUUGAGCUGUUGGGGUCCUAACUGAUCAGCGGUGGCGUUUUACUCUUUAAUCUAAACCAAAGCAAGCAGCUACAAACGAGAUUAAUCAAAUUUGAGAGGUGUCUUGCUUUUAGCUCUUCAGCUUAGUGCUUUUUGGUGUAAAUUUUGAUGGGAGAGGUGUAAAUUUCUUUUGUGUAGUUUAUAUGCAUGUAUAUUAUUUACCCUUACCCCUUUCUAUCAAAUUUCAAGUCAAUAUCCUAUCGGUUUGAAAAAUGAGUCCAAUUGCAAGGUUGAGUUCAGCUAGUUACUUAAGGCAAUAUGUAAGUUUUUUUUACGCUCGAAUUCGAUCUCU